GAUGAACGCUGGCGGCGUGCCUAAUACAUGCAAGUCGAGCGAACGGACGAGAAGCUUGCUUCUCUGAUGUUAGCGGCGGACGGGUGAGUAACACGUGGAUAACCUACCUAUAAGACUGGGAUAACUUCGGGAAACCGGAGCUAAUACCGGAUAAUAUUUUGAACCGCAUGGUUCAAAAGUGAAAGACGGUCUGGCUGUCACUUAUAGAUGGUUCCGCGCUGCAUUAGCUAGUUGGUAAGGUAACGGCUUACCAAGGCAACGAUGCAUAGCCGACCUGAGAGGGUGAUCGGCCACACUGGAACUGAGACACGGUCCAGACUCCUACGGGAGGCAGCAGUAGGGAAUCUUCCGCAAUGGGCGAAAGCCUGACGGAGCAACGCCGCGUGAGUGAUGAAGGUCUUCGGAUCGUAAAACUCUGUUAUUAGGGAAGAACAUAUGUGUAAGUAACUGUGCACAUCUUGACGGUACCUAAUCAGAAAGCCACGGCUAACUACGUG
This 497-nucleotide ribosomal RNA is filed under the name uncultured bacterium. RNAcentral's name for it is "partial 16S ribosomal RNA". It matches the Rfam family "Bacterial small subunit ribosomal RNA", at positions 28 to 507 of the family's 1533-position model. The record is from RNAcentral.